Molecule: long non-coding RNA, 734 nt
Organism: Gasterosteus aculeatus aculeatus (three-spined stickleback)
Lineage: Eukaryota; Metazoa; Chordata; Actinopteri; Perciformes; Gasterosteidae
Source: Ensembl
UUUCGGACAAAGCUAUAUAAUCUCCAAAUAAAUCAAAUAUGUAAUGUUUAAAAAGAAGGAAAAAUAAAACGACGUGAAAUACCCGCUAACAUUCGCACGCACUACGACGAAAGGUCCGUGACGCAUGCAAAGGCUUGAAGGUCAUAACAAAUGUGUGUUUUUGUAACAGCAGCCACAACUUGCAGUAUAGCCUGGUAUUUCCCUGGGAGUUUCCACCCUAUUCCUGUCCCAUAGAAUCCAGUUCCCCCACUGGUUCCUCAGGAACUAAACUUGGUUGCUGUGUCCCGUCUGCUAUUAAAUCAUUCACCCAGCAAUGCUACGAAGAGUCUCAACCUCGUCUGUCCUGCUUAGGAUCUACCCUCCAUGAGUCAGCAAGAACACGUACAGCGUUUCUCUUUGGAGUAGAGAUAAUGUUCACCGAGUGACUUUUGCAUAGGGCCUCUUCUGGUCAAGUGACAGGCUUUUUCAAAAACAAAGUCAAAUGUUGCAUGUUUGUACAGGUAGAACAAAUUUACAUAUAACUCCGUUUACACUACGCCCCUUGAGAGCUGCUGACGGUGUGACGGCGAGCUGUGACUCACACACGUCUCCGUCUUGCGCAGACAUCUUCACACACACGCACGUCUUGAGUUAUAUAGUCAAGGUGACAUACAGAGCAGUUAGAUUGUCUAAUAUGGUCAAGCCAGUUGAACUGUUAGAACUAAUUAAACACAUACCAGUAUGCAAUAUGUCAC